RNAcentral lists this long non-coding RNA (822 nucleotides) under Bos indicus x Bos taurus (hybrid cattle). Its description in RNAcentral is "lncRNA (ENSBIXG00000002847.1)". Lineage: Eukaryota; Metazoa; Chordata; Mammalia; Artiodactyla; Bovidae. The record is from RNAcentral.
AUGACAGACCCGUGUGCUGAGUGGACUUCCAGGUGGUUCAGUGGUAUAGAGCCUGCCUGCCAAUGUGCAUUUGAUCUCCGGGUCAGGAAAAUCCCCUGGAGGAGGAAAUGGCAACCCACUGCAGUAUUCUUGCCUGGAGAAUCCUGUGGACAGAGAAGCCUGGUGCGCUACAGUCCAUGGGGUCACAAAGAGGCACUCACAUGCAAUGUCACAUCCUCACAGCGACCAGGAAGGGAGGACAUAAGUGUCUACAUUUUGCAAAUUCGGAGAAAGCAGGUCACAGAGAUUGACCAGUUUUCUUUCCCAACAAACCCAGGUGUGUCUUUCAUCCAGGCAAGCCCUCCACCCGGCCUUGCAUCCAGUUGGCCUCUUGUCGGAUCCCCUUUAGAAGUCAACCAGUUGUCCGGCCGUCCAGCCCAGGCUAUCCUCAUGUUCAUGUAUGAACCUGCUUCUGAACUCUGCAGCCCAGAGAAGACUCGGCAAAGCUGGGGGGCCACUGUGCCUGCAGGCUCCCCUGCUGGGGGGCCACCCCUCAGCCCCCCUAAGGAGUUCCACACAGGGCAUGGUCCAGUCUUUGUGUCAGCCAGCCUUCACCAGUACCCCUCAUCCCUCCCACCAUGCGGAUCAUCAGAAUCAAAGCCCAGGGUCGGGCUGGAAUCCUGUACUUCCCUUUUCCCCCAAAAUAUCUACCUUGAAAGAAUUUUUGCAAAUCAAAUCAUAAGCGCAUUAGAGUUAAUUAUAUACUAUUAAAUUCACUGCUGUGGCAAAGCCUUGGAAAAUGAAGAAUCUUUUUCUAAUUAAAAUAAACAAAUUUCAGUUCAC